AUCUUUCUCGUUUUCAGUCACAACAUUCUUAGGCUUCAAAUUUUUGGAAGCACUGUAAAAUUCGUUUCCACUUAUACUGCUUAAAAGCAUGAGCCAGCGUUUAGAAACGCAAGCGCAGAGGCUCCUCGUCUCUCUAUCAGGCAGGCAUCUGAAGAUCUCAAAGAGGCACUCGUCUGGAAGAACUUCAAUAGAUGCCUCCUUCUUUUUGAG
This 210-nucleotide unclassified non-coding RNA is filed under the name Hevea brasiliensis (rubber tree). Lineage: Eukaryota; Viridiplantae; Streptophyta; Magnoliopsida; Malpighiales; Euphorbiaceae. The record is from RNAcentral.